RNAcentral lists this transfer RNA (73 nucleotides) under Ailuropoda melanoleuca (giant panda). It matches the Rfam family "tRNA". From Rfam's summary of the family: Transfer RNA (tRNA) molecules are approximately 80 nucleotides in length. The record is from Rfam by way of RNAcentral. Lineage: Eukaryota; Metazoa; Chordata; Mammalia; Carnivora; Ursidae.
ACCCGGCUGGCUCAGUUGGUAGAGCAUGUGACUCUUGAUCUUGGGGUCAUGAGUUCGAGUCCUGUGUGGGGUG